AACUCCAAGAAUACGAGGAGGAGGUGGCCCGGGUCUGCGUUGGCGCCGUCCAGCGCGGGCCACGGGCCCGCUUCCAAGUGCGUCUGCACGCCAGCCACCCAUGCCGGGUCCUUCAAGUGCCGCUUUCACCGCAUCAACUCCCAGGGCCACGGCCACGGCCAGGACCAAGGAAGCCGCCCUUCUUCGCCCCCUUCACCGGCCGCGGCCAACGUGGUGCCGCGGCACCCGGCCUCGACGUCCUCGCAACCCAGUGACGCAGCCCAAGCAUCGGCCUCGAGAAUCAAGAACGCUCGACAACGGAGAGUGAAGGGAAAGAUCAUAUACAUGUCAUAA
RNAcentral lists this ribosomal RNA (333 nucleotides) under Triticum aestivum (bread wheat). RNAcentral's name for it is "partial small subunit ribosomal RNA". Lineage: Eukaryota; Viridiplantae; Streptophyta; Magnoliopsida; Poales; Poaceae. The record is from RNAcentral.